RNAcentral lists this ribosomal RNA (463 nucleotides) under uncultured bacterium. RNAcentral describes it as "SSU rRNA". It matches the Rfam family "Bacterial small subunit ribosomal RNA", at positions 26 to 518 of the family's 1533-position model. The record is from RNAcentral.
AGAGCGAACGCUGGCGGCAGGCCUAAUACAUGCAAGUCGAACGGACCCUUCGGGGUUAGUGGCGGACGGGUGAGUAACACGUGGGAACGUGCCCUUUGGUUCGGAACAACUCAGGGAAACUUGAGCUAAUACCGAAUGUGCCCCCAUCCUUAAACAAGAUGGGUGGGAAAGAUUUAUCGCCAUUGGAGCGGCCCGCGUCUGAUUAGCUAGUUGGUGGGGUAAAGGCUCACCAAGGCGACGAUCAGUAGCUGGUCUGAGAGGAUGAUCAGCCACACUGGGACUGAGACACGGCCCAGACUCCUACGGGAGGCAGCAGUAGGGAAUCUUGCGCAAUGGGCGAAAGCCUGACGCAGCCAUGCCGCGUGAAUGAUGAAGGUCUUAGGAUUGUAAAAUUCUUUCAGCGGGGACGAUAAUGACGGUACCCGCAGAAGAACGCCCCGGCUAACUUCGUGCCAGCAGCCGC